GACGAACGCUGGCGGCGUGCUUAAUGCAUGCAAGUCGAACGAGAACUACUUCACUCGUAAGAGCGAGGUAGGGACAGUGGCGAACGGGUGCGUAACACGUGAGAAACCUGCCUUGGAGAUCGGGAUAGCCCGGGGAAACCCGGAUUAAUACCGAAUACCUUCACGACACCGCAUGGUGAUGUGAAGAAAUGGUCCGCCGCUCCAAGAUGGUCUCGCGGCCUAUCAGCUUGUUGGUGAGGUAACGGCUCACCAAGGCGAAGACGGGUAGCUGGUCUGAGAGGACGAUCAGCCACACUGGGACUGAGACACGGCCCAGACUCCUACGGGAGGCAGCAGCAGGGAAUAUUGCACAAUGGGCGAAAGCCUGAUGCAGCGACGCCGCGUGCGGGAUGAAGGCCUUCGGGUUGUAAACCGCUUUCAGCAGGGACGAAAAUGACGGUACCUGCAGAAGAAGCCCCGGCCAACUACGUG
RNAcentral lists this ribosomal RNA (471 nucleotides) under uncultured bacterium. RNAcentral describes it as "bacterial SSU rRNA". It matches the Rfam family "Bacterial small subunit ribosomal RNA", at positions 28 to 507 of the family's 1533-position model. The record is from RNAcentral.